AGAGUUUGAUUCUGGCUCAGGAUGAACGCUAGCGACAGGCCUAACACAUGCAAGUCGAGGGGCAGCGCGGAGUAGCAAUACUUGGCGGCGACCGGCGCACGGGUGAGUAACACGUAUGCAACCAACCCAUAACAGGGGGAUAACCCGGAGAAAUCCGGACUAAUACCGCAUAAGACCACGAUAUCGCACGAUAUAGAGGUCAAAUAUUUAGUAGGUUAUGGACGGGCGUGCGUCUGAUUAGCUGGUUGGCGGGUAACGGCCCACCAAGGCAUCGAUCAGUAGGGGUUCUGAGAGGAAGGUCCCCCACAUUGGAACUGAGACACGGUCCAAACUCCUACGGGAGGCAGCAGUGAGGAAUAUUGGUCAAUGGGCGAAAGCCUGAACCAGCCAUGUCGCGUGAAGGAAUGAAGGUCCUAUGGAUUGUAAACUUCUUUUGCAGGAGGGUAAAGUGAGCUACGUGUAGUUCAUUGCAAGUACCCUGCGAAUAAGCAUCGGCUAACUCCGUGCCAGCCGCUGC
This 517-nucleotide ribosomal RNA is filed under the name uncultured bacterium. RNAcentral describes it as "bacterial SSU rRNA". It matches the Rfam family "Bacterial small subunit ribosomal RNA", at positions 8 to 518 of the family's 1533-position model. The record is from RNAcentral.